CAUACCUAUUCGAAGGGAUAGGGUCGGUUUGGCCGGGUUUCACACAGGUGUUGCAUGGCUGUCGUCAGCUCGUGUCGUGAGAUGUUGGGUUAAGUCCCGCAACGGGCGCAACCCUCAUCCUUAGUUACCAUCAGGUUAUGCUGGGGACUUUAAGGAAACUGCCAGUGAUAAACUGGAGGAAGGUGGGGAUGAUGUCGAGUCAUCAUGGCCCUUAUGGAGUGGGCUACACACGUGCUACAAUGGUGAUUACAAUGGGCUGCAAGGUCGCAAGACUGAGCUAAUCCUAAAAAAUCAUCUCAGUUCGGAUUGUUCUCUGCAACUCGAGGGCAUGAAGUUGGAAUCGCUAGUAAUCGUGGAUCAGCAUGCCACGGUGAAUACGUUCUCGGGUCUUGUACACACUGCCCGUCACGCCAUGGGAAUUGGUUUCACUCGAAGCU
RNAcentral lists this ribosomal RNA (437 nucleotides) under Wolbachia pipientis. RNAcentral describes it as "bacterial SSU rRNA". It matches the Rfam family "Bacterial small subunit ribosomal RNA", at positions 993 to 1428 of the family's 1533-position model. Lineage: Bacteria; Pseudomonadati; Pseudomonadota; Alphaproteobacteria; Rickettsiales; Anaplasmataceae. The record is from RNAcentral.